GUGUCGUAGCCAACGCGUUAAGUGUUCCGCCUGGGGAGUACGCACGCAAGUGUGAAACUCAAAGGAAUUGACGGGGGCCCGCACAAGCGGUGGAGUAUGUGGUUUAAUUCGAUGCAACGCGAAGAACCUUACCAGGGUUUGACAUCCUGCGAAUCUCUUGGAAACGAGAGAGUGCCUUCGGGAACGCAGUGACAGGUGGUGCAUGGCUGUCGUCAGCUCGUGUCGUGAGAUGUUGGGUUAAGUCCCGCAACGAGCGCAACCCACGUCUUUAGUUGCCAGCAUUUAGUUGGGCACUCUAGAGAGACCGCCGGUGAUAAACCGGAGGAAGGUGUGGAUGACGUCAAGUCAUCAUGCCCCUUACAUCCUGGGCUACACACGUACUACAAUGCUACGGACAAAGGGCAGCAAGUUCGCGAGGACAAGCAAAUCCCAUAAACCGUGGCUCAGUUCAGAUCGUAGGCUGCAACUCGCCUACGUGAAGGAGGAAUCGCUAGUAAUCGCAGGUCAGCAUACUGCGGUGAAUACGUUCCCGGGCCUUGUACACACCGCCCGUCACACCAUGGAAGUUGGCCACGCCCGAAGCCGUUACUCCAACCCUCGGGAGGAGGACGUCGAAGGUGGGGCUGAUGACUGGGGUGAAGUCGUAACAAGGUAACCGUA
RNAcentral lists this ribosomal RNA (660 nucleotides) under uncultured bacterium. RNAcentral's name for it is "bacterial SSU rRNA". It matches the Rfam family "Bacterial small subunit ribosomal RNA", at positions 843 to 1504 of the family's 1533-position model. The record is from RNAcentral.